RNAcentral lists this long non-coding RNA (1478 nucleotides) under Bos grunniens (domestic yak). RNAcentral's name for it is "lncRNA (ENSBGRG00000001933.1)". The record is from RNAcentral. Lineage: Eukaryota; Metazoa; Chordata; Mammalia; Artiodactyla; Bovidae.
ACAGCUGCACAGAGGCCAGCAUGGCCGUCCCCCAAGUGCCCACAGCAGACAGAGAGUGAGGAAGGCGGGUGGGUCUGAGCUGGAAGGAGGCUGCCUGUGAAGGGCAUGCCUGCCUGGCUGCAUUAAUGAGAAUAUAGCAUCCGGGAUGGUGGAGGGGACACAGCUGGGGGAGCAUCACCAUGAGCAGCACUCCCGGUGGGAGGGGCUUGCGGGGCAGAGCCGCUCAGGAGAGGCCGGCUCUGGGGUUUGGAAGCUGCAAGAAGGGCAGCGGGGAGCAGCCAGUGGCCGGCUCUGGUGCAGACACAGGUGGGAUGGGGCUGGAGCCCGGGGCGAGGUGCAGAGAGGGGGUCAGCGCCCACAGAGGAGGACGUUGCUGGUGACCCAGGGGCAUCCCAGGUGAAGCCCGGGCGGAGGUCCUGACCCCGAGGAACUUCUCAGAGCCUUGGAACUGAACCACCCCAGACACGGCCAGGCGUCCCGUGCACCCGCGGCCCGUCGCGCUGACACACAGCCCUUCCUGCAGUGACUCUGUGUCCGCCUGCAGAAUGCCCAGCUUUGCCGUGGACACACCGCAGCUUCUAGGACGUGGGACACAGGAUUCAAAGCACGGCCCCCGGACCCCGGACACACCCCCGCUGACCAGGAGGCCUCCAUCUACGGAGAGCGGAAGGCCGGGCGGCCCCGAGCCACGGCCCCGCCCUGCAGGCCCCCCAGGAGGCUGUGGGCCGGGCUGGAGUCAGGGAGCGCCCCAGGGCCCGGAAGGAUGAGGGCCCUGGGGUGCUCUUCAACCUCCCGGGUGAGCUAAGGGAAGGCGGCCUUCAUCCUCACGUCUUCCCCCUCCCCGCGCUUGGCGAAAUACGCAGGCCCCUGGAUCCAGUCCUGCAGGCGGCCCAGCGCGGGGCUGGCCAGAGGGCAGAUCGCGCCUGGUCUCAGGCGUCCGCCGUCCACUCAAAGUUACGACAACAGUUCACCAGGAGGGCGGGGCUGACGUCCGUCCCUCUGGAGGCAGCAGCACUGGGCACGCGGGUCAGCCCUGGGCGUGAUCCCUGACCCGCCUUCGACCCCCCCACUUUCCCUGGAAUAAGAGGAAAUAACCCCAGUGGACAGCUUGUCCUCAGACGGCCACCCCCUCCCCCAAACUCUGCUUUUCCUCCCGGACCUGGGUCCCUGCAGGCGAGUCUCCUGGCUUCUCCGUUCUGAGUUUCUUCCCCCUCUCGCCCCUGCUAAGCCCUGUGCUCACGGGGGUCUCGACGCUGCCUGGGGGUCUGCAGCUCAGACAGCGAAGAGCCCGGUCAGCGGCCACGGCCCAGAUAGAGCCACGCGGGCAAAGAUGGGGCCUGCCCACCGCCCGGCUGUGGGAGGGGUCUCCCCGGCAGGCUGUGCCGCUGCUGCCCGCCGUGUGUCCCAGGGCCCCAGGCGCUGCAGGCCCCGAGGAACUUUUUAUUUGAGCGCAGUUGUGUAAUAAAGUAUUUAAAUGG